ACCUGGGUGGCUCAGUCCGUUGAGCGUCUGACUUCGGCUCAGGUCAUGAUCUCGAGGUUCGUGGGUUCAAGCCCCACGUCGGGCU
RNAcentral lists this transfer RNA (85 nucleotides) under Felis catus (domestic cat). It matches the Rfam family "tRNA". Rfam says of the family: Transfer RNA (tRNA) molecules are approximately 80 nucleotides in length. Their secondary structure includes four short double-helical elements and three loops (D, anti-codon, and T loops). The record is from Rfam by way of RNAcentral. RNAcentral also lists the same sequence under 1 other name. Lineage: Eukaryota; Metazoa; Chordata; Mammalia; Carnivora; Felidae.